UUUACUGUGACGGUUAACUCGACAUUUAAACAAGAGAUCAUAUUUGACGGACGCAAUUCUUCUAGUUUUGACUGGUUCUCCGGAAGUAGGGUCAUAAACUCAUCUUGGUCAGAUGUCACAGAAUCACAAACCUAUCUCUUUUUUGAUAUUUUAGGAUUGCAGGAUUCCAUCGUAAAUAGAUUUUGGACCAUAAUGAAUUAUCAUCAGGGCUGUCCGGGUGACUUUGGCUGGUUUUCCGCGUCAUACAAUCCUCCAUAUGGAUGUUCCUAUGAUUUGACAUCUCUGUCCUACCCAGUGUUUAGAGCGUCUCCCAGUUCAACGGCUUGUGUAAUGGCAUCUAGCACGGUGGAAGCAGAAGCAUUUUCAGUUUCAAUUUUAGCGAAGAGUUUGAUCUGAAUGAAGACCAAAGG
Long non-coding RNA from Saccostrea echinata, 410 nucleotides. RefSeq lists it as uncharacterized. The transcript has 3 exons. Lineage: Eukaryota; Metazoa; Mollusca; Bivalvia; Ostreida; Ostreidae. The record is from RefSeq and is a predicted model, not a curated record.